GAGCCGCUAGCUCAUCAGGUAGAGCAACGCCCUUUUAAGGCGUGGGUGCCGAGUUCGAGUCUCGGGCGGCUCACCA
RNAcentral lists this transfer RNA (76 nucleotides) under Deltaproteobacteria bacterium. Its description in RNAcentral is "tRNA-Lys". It matches the Rfam family "tRNA". Rfam says of the family: Transfer RNA (tRNA) molecules are approximately 80 nucleotides in length. Their secondary structure includes four short double-helical elements and three loops (D, anti-codon, and T loops). The record is from RNAcentral. Lineage: Bacteria; Pseudomonadati; Myxococcota; Myxococcia.